Non-coding RNA from Callithrix jacchus (white-tufted-ear marmoset), 1072 nucleotides. NCBI's taxonomy places the organism in Eukaryota, Metazoa, Chordata, Mammalia, Primates, Cebidae. The record is from RefSeq and is a predicted model, not a curated record.
UAAAAUUUUGCAUGUUGUUCUCCCACAAAUCUUUUUUUUUUUUUUUUGAGAUGGAGUCUCACUCUGUCAGCCAGGCUGGAGUGCAGUGGUGUGAUCUCGUCUCAUUGCAACCUCUGCCUCCUGGGUUCAAGUGAUCCUCUUUCCUCAGUCUCCCUAGUAGCUGGGAUGACAGGGGCAUACCACCUCGCCCAGCUAAUAUUUGUAUUUUUAGUAGACACGGGGUUUUACCAUGAUAGCCAGGCUGGUCUUGAACUCCUGAUCUUGUCUUUCCAUCUAUUUAGAUCCUUAAUUUCUUUCAGCAAUGCUUUCUACUUUUAGCACACAAGGCUUUUGCCUCCUUGGUUAAACUGAUUCCAAAGUACUUUAUUCUUUUGAUGCUAUUAUGAAUGGAACUGUUUUCUUAAUUUCCUUUUCAGACUGUUCAUUGUUAGUGUACAGAAACAAUUGUUUUUGUCUGCACAUUUGCUGAAUACAUUCAUUAGAUACAACAGUUUAAAAUUUUUUAACUUUUCAUUUUUCAUUCAGACUCAUAUGAUUUGAAAUCUAAACAAGUUUUUCCGUCAAAUUUUUAUUUUUCUACAUAUAAGAUCAUGUCAUAUACAGAUAGUUAAUUUUUCUUCUUCCUUUCUAAUUUCAAUGCCUCUUAUUUCUUUUUCUUGCUUAAUUGCUCUAGCAAGAACUUCCAAUACUAUGUUGAAUGGAAGCGGAGAACUGGGCAUUCUUCACUUGUUCCUGAUCAUUCUUAACAUUUCCCUUUUAGAGGAAAAGCUUUCAGUCACCAUUGAGCAUGAUGUUAGCUGGCUUUUUAUAACUUCCUUAUGUUGAGGUAGAUUUCUCAUUGUCUUCACCAAUCUUCUGAACCCGUGAAUACUUUUUGCAUGAUGAUUUGAAGCAGCCAGGAGGCCAAGACAGUGGCCAGGAGAAGCAGCAAGGAAUUGAGCCUUGGACAUUUUUCUCAAAAAAAUAAAAGAUGGGGAACCACCAUGCUCGAGAUAAGAAAUUAGUCUGUGAAGAGACCUUCAAGUUCUGCAAAUGGUAGACAAAAAAGUAAAAUGAGUCAUAUCUCUCUUGA